UGGUCAUUUCAAAGAGGGCUUGUUGGGUUUCCAAACCAAGAGCUCUUAACGCUGUGACCAAAGAUAGAAGUUCUCCAUAGGAUGCGAUAGUCACUCAAUAGUAGUGCUAUGUUUUCCAGAGGAGAUAUACUG
Small nucleolar RNA from Dipodomys ordii (Ord's kangaroo rat), 132 nucleotides. The record is from Ensembl. Lineage: Eukaryota; Metazoa; Chordata; Mammalia; Rodentia; Heteromyidae.